This 448-nucleotide unclassified non-coding RNA is filed under the name uncultured Chytridiomycota. Its description in RNAcentral is "sequence contains ITS2". The stretch from base 1 to 142 matches the Rfam family "5.8S ribosomal RNA". Lineage: Eukaryota; Fungi; Chytridiomycota. The record is from RNAcentral.
AACUUUCGACAACGGAUCUCUUGGCUCUCGCAACGAUGAAGAACGCAGCGAAAUGCGAUACGUAAUGUGAAUUGCUUUCCGUGAAUCAUCGAAUCUUUGAACGCACAUUGCACUCUUUUAGAGUAUGCCUGUUUGAGAAUCUAUAGUAUUUAUUUUUGUGUAUACUUUUUAGGAAGUAUAGGCAAGAGAUAUGGGGUUUCCCUCGCAAGGGGGUACUCUGAAAUAGAUUGCCUCUGUUUUGAUAGACUCGACGAAGUUUUUCAAUCCUGCAGAAAAGUAUUUGAAUGGAACUGUGGUUUCUCGAUAUGCUGAAUAUGUGGGGGAAAGAUGGAGAAUCUAUUGGGCAGAUGUCCAUACCCUAUAAGGCGGUCUUAGGAUCGGCUUGAACCAUGGUCUCAAAUCAGGUAGGAAGACCCGCUGAACUUAAGCAUAUCAAUAAGCGGAGGCU